UACAGAGGGGGCAAGCGUUGUUCGGAAUUACUGGGCGUAAAGGGCGCGUAGGCGGCCUUCUAAGUCGAACGUGAAAUCCCCGGGCUCAACCCGGGAACUGCGUCCGAUACUGGAAGGCUUGAAUCCGGGAGAGGGAUGCGGAAUUCCCAGUGUAGAGGUGAAAUUCGUAGAUAUUGGGAAGAACACCAGUGGCGAAGGCGGCUCACUGGCCCGUAACUGACGCUGAGGUGCGAAAGCGUGGGGAGCAAACAGG
Molecule: ribosomal RNA, 253 nt
Filed under: uncultured bacterium
Lineage: Bacteria
Description: partial 16S ribosomal RNA
Rfam family: Bacterial small subunit ribosomal RNA
Source: RNAcentral